Small nucleolar RNA from Mesocricetus auratus (golden hamster), 118 nucleotides. RefSeq annotates it as small nucleolar RNA SNORA26. The transcript has a single exon. Lineage: Eukaryota; Metazoa; Chordata; Mammalia; Rodentia; Cricetidae. The record is from RefSeq and is a predicted model, not a curated record.
GUGCCAUUUUAAGGUUGGUGCUGUACACUUAAGAGGCUAACACUAAGUAAAGGAACUCUACAUCAACCCCAGAGUAUAGGCUGUGACCUCCUCUUGGAUCCUGUCUGAAGACACAGAU